RNAcentral lists this long non-coding RNA (932 nucleotides) under Gossypium barbadense (sea-island cotton). RNAcentral's name for it is "long non-coding RNA (GBAR_LNC011659)". The record is from RNAcentral. Lineage: Eukaryota; Viridiplantae; Streptophyta; Magnoliopsida; Malvales; Malvaceae.
UAAUUCAUCCUUCACUACCCAAAGUAAUAUACAUAUUCAAGUGACUAAACAACACCUAUGUACAUGCCACCUUUACCCAAAAGAAAAAUAUACAUCACCAAGUUUGUGUUGGAGUCGGGAUUGUUCUGGAUGCUGAGUCGGGACACUUGACUUCUACUAACCUGCGCACGGAAACAACCGUACGCUGAGUAUGGAUAUACUCAGUGGUAUUACUAUAAAUCAAGACUAUUUAAUAUUAAUAAAUUACAAACAUCAACCAUAAAUUUUAUAAUUAUUUAAACUAAUUUUAUAUAUAAUUAUUUUACUUCAUAAAAUCUUAAAUUCAUAAUUCAUUUUUCUCAUACUAACUCAAUUCAUAAUUUAACUCAUACAUUCUUUCUCGUACUUUUCAAUAGUGCUAAAACAAAUAAUCUCAUUUUCAAAAUUUCAUUUCAAUUAUUUACCCUAUUAACAAAGCUCGGACUAUGACAGAUACACGGAUUUCCACCCAAACACACCAGAAUAUCCAACCCAAACACACCAGAAUAUCCAACCCAAACACACCCAGAAUAUUGUAAAUCCUCCAUAACACACCGGUAUAAUAUAUCCUCCCAACACACUAAUAAUGCAUUAAAUGCCUAUUCGGAUAAACCGAAGUAUACAAUAACAGAAACAUCUUCUCAGCCGAACUACAAUCUCUUCAUCACAUCACAAAUCCAAUGGCAUACCAUUUGUAUCGAAUCUAGUCCGGCGAGUUAAUAGGGUAUUAUUUUACUUUUUCUAAUUUCAAUUUCACAUACUUACCUCAAGUCUUAUUUACCAUACAUAACAAAUAAAAUUUCAGCAAUCAAUAAUAAUUAAAAUUCGAAUUAUAGUAAUACACACCGUAAUUCUCCCGUUUUAGUCCUUGAUGACUUUCUCCUUUCCUUUCGAUGCUGAUGCUUCAGGUUCUU